Molecule: microRNA, 22 nt
Filed under: Homo sapiens (human)
Lineage: Eukaryota; Metazoa; Chordata; Mammalia; Primates; Hominidae
Description: hsa-miR-5688
Source: miRBase by way of RNAcentral
UAACAAACACCUGUAAAACAGC